This 748-nucleotide long non-coding RNA is filed under the name Chinchilla lanigera (long-tailed chinchilla). Its description in RNAcentral is "lncRNA (ENSCLAG00000026925.1)". The record is from RNAcentral. Lineage: Eukaryota; Metazoa; Chordata; Mammalia; Rodentia; Chinchillidae.
UUUUGCUUUUCCCCCAACAGAAGACCCAAAGCCUACUCCUCGGCUCAACUUCCUUUGAAGCUACAAUGCGCCCCCUCCCCUGAAAAUCACCCCGCCCGCCCGCCCCGGGCGGCCCUCUGCGCGCCCGCGGGGGCUCCCUCCGCCCCGGCACAGCCCCGCACGCCGCACUUCUCCAACUUCGCGGCCGCCCGCGGCGGCCCUUCUGCGCGCCCGCGGGGGCUCCCUCCGCCCCGGCACAGCCCCGCACGCCGCACUUCUCCAACUUCGCGGCCGCCCGGGGGAGCCGAGGCGCCGGCCCUUACCUUGCCCUCCGGAGCUGGGGGAUCUCGCUCUACACCAGCAGCGGCUCGCGAGCCAGCGACAGCCACGGAGAGACGCGCCUUCGCCCCCGACCGCCGCUGCCCAUCUUCCUCGGCUCCGCUUCGGGACCGGGGGGAUCACUCGGAAGCGCGCGCAGACCCAGAAGAAGGGCCUCCUGGAUCGUUGGCGGAUGAAGGAUUUGAUGAACUGGCUUCCAAUACACGACGCCAGCAAGAGGUCACUGGCCGCCCGAUUGUGUCUGCACAGGGAGACGCUGUUGGUGGUUUGCAAAACAAGCGCUAAACUAGUGCACUGAUGUAGUGGGCGGAGCCUGGGGUUAUUCAUUGAGAGCGUGGAGUCUUCCUAAGGGUGAGUGGCUUGGGCGGCAGGUGAAGUUGAAUAAAGCAAUUUUCCAUCAUUUUCUCUACUCUUCUGCAUUUUUCUUUUA